UUACCUCCCAAGCCAAGGCCUAUAGAUUAGUCGAGAAGCCUUUGCAAGUGAGGUGCUAGGGAUGGAGAGAAAUCUUGUGCCUGCAGGCGUGGUGUUCUUGAUGCUAAUCUUGUUUGCUUCAGUUGCCGGUGCAAGAUUGUGCGAGUCGCAAAGCCACACGUACAAGGGAACGUGCACGAACAACCAUAACUGCGCCAUUGUAUGCCAGAGAGAGGGAAGGGGAUUUACUGGUGGCAGGUGCAGGGGAUUCUGGCGAAAGUGCUACUGCACCAAGAUAUGUUAGGUGCUGCAUCUCACUCUUAGCAUCCAAGCUAUUGUACGUACAUGGAUCUGCUUUAAAAAAUAUGGGAUAUUAUGUAUGUGGGAAGAUUAUUCUCCGUUGGUAGUUCUCUGUAGUUCUUCUCUGGGACAUGCUUUGAGGUUUCUAGCUUUCCAGUGUUCUUAUCUGGGAUAUGGUAUGUGUAAGAAAAUUACUUUGGAUUAUUUUGUGCCUCCUGGUAUAUAUACACUUGAUAUAAAGUUUGA
Phoenix dactylifera (date palm) is the source of this 525-nucleotide non-coding RNA. The record is from RefSeq and is a predicted model, not a curated record. NCBI's taxonomy places the organism in Eukaryota, Viridiplantae, Streptophyta, Magnoliopsida, Arecales, Arecaceae.